This is a long non-coding RNA of Chenopodium quinoa (quinoa), 889 nucleotides long. RefSeq lists it as uncharacterized. The transcript is spliced from 3 exons. Lineage: Eukaryota; Viridiplantae; Streptophyta; Magnoliopsida; Caryophyllales; Amaranthaceae. The record is from RefSeq and is a predicted model, not a curated record.
CUAACCAAGCAAGAGAUAUUCGGUUAUCUGGCCAAACAUUAGAGAAGUUUGACCCUGGCCAUCGCCAAGGUAGCGUAUCUACUCCUCAAGUGGUUAAAAAAAUGGCAAAGAAAAAGGAUGGAAUUUUACCAACUGCUGCUGAAGUAUAUGAGAGCACUCAUUCUAUUUGUGUGGGCAAUGAUGAAGUUGAAUUGAUGGGUGACAAGUCUCAAAAAGUCAUGGGAGAAUAUAUGGAAAAACUUGAGGAAUAUAAGAACAAAGGAAUUUUGAGAUAAACCCCGACAAAAUCUACUUGGAGGUUGUAGGUGGGCAAAAGAAAGGAAAAGUCUACGGUUUAGGGAGUGCUUCACAAAUGUAUUACAAGAGUGAUCCUACUUCUCAAUCUACUGCAUCAUCUUCCACUCCUUCCAUGAUUUCUCAAUUAAGUUCUCAAGUUGAAGAACUAAAGAAGAUGGCGGAAGAAAACCAUAACAAGGUAGAAGAAAGCCAAAAAAUAGCGGCAGAGAACUUAAAAUGUGCUAAGGAAUUCGUCGAAAAUCAUGAGAUCGAAAAAGCUACAUGGAAGAAGGAAAAAUUAGCUAUGCAAAAAACAUUGCAGGAAAUGGCAUCACUUGUAAAACAAGUUUACCGUCCUUAUAAGCCUCCUACGCCUGCAGUCACCCGCUCUCGUGAUACAACUAAGUGAUUUUUAUUUUCUUGGUGGUAAUUUUAUGAACAACUGGUCUUUUACAUUGUCAUUAAUUCUUGUUUGAAGUAGCUUUUUUUUUAUAUGGGAGGUGACUUUUGGAACAAUUAGUCUUAUAAGUUAAAUAUUGUUUUUUAAUACAUUGAUACAAAAUUGAUUGAUAUUUUGGAUAUUUGAAUAAAAUUAACAUUUUGGUUAUUUGAA